This 774-nucleotide ribosomal RNA is filed under the name uncultured Neocallimastigales. RNAcentral describes it as "partial large subunit ribosomal RNA". It matches the Rfam family "Eukaryotic large subunit ribosomal RNA", at positions 26 to 634 of the family's 3401-position model. The record is from RNAcentral. Lineage: Eukaryota; Fungi; Neocallimastigomycota; Neocallimastigomycetes; Neocallimastigales.
CGCAUCUGUGCAUGCAGCAUAUCAAUAAGCGGAGGAAAAGAAACUAACAAGGAUUCCCUUAGUAACGGCGAGUGAAGCGGGAAGAGCUCAAAUUUGAAAUCUUCAAGGUUUUACCUUGACGAAUUGUAGUUUAAAGAAGUGUUUUCUGUUGAAGUUUUGGUAAAAGUUCUUUGGAAUAGGACAUCAUAGAGGGUGAGAAUCCCGUAUUUGACCAUUAUUUUCAGCUGUGUGAUACACUUUCAAAGAGUCGGAUUGUUUGGGAAUGCAGUCCAAAAUGGGUGGUAAAUUUCAUCUAAAGCUAAAUAUUGGCGAGAGACCGAUAGCGAACAAGUACCGUGAGGGAAAGAUGAAAAGAACUUUGAAAAGAGAGUUAAACAGUACGUGAAAUUGUCAAAAGGGAAGCGUUUGACACCAGUGUUGUUUUUCCGAAAAUCAAUUACGAAUGGCUUGAUUUUGUGUUGUAUUGACCUUAUCAGCUUUCUUCACUUCUUUCGAGUCUUUCUUAAUGCACUUUUCGGUUAACAAGUCAACAUCAAUUUCUUUUGUUGUAAAAGAGUAUUCGGAAGGUGGCUUUCUUUUCGGAGAAAGUGUUUAUAGCCCUAUACUUCUACAAUCGGAGAGAUUGAGGUCUGCAGCGUAGAUCCUUCGGGGUUAGAUACAUUUGUGCUAAGUUGUAGCUUUUCAUAGACAACUUGUUGACUAUGUUUAGUCAUGCGGCUUACUCGCUUAUGCUAUUUUACCUACGCUUAGGAUGUUGAAGACUCUACAGAGAUA